Molecule: long non-coding RNA, 841 nt
Organism: Leptopilina boulardi
Lineage: Eukaryota; Metazoa; Arthropoda; Insecta; Hymenoptera; Figitidae
Exons: 3
Source: RefSeq, a predicted model, not a curated record
UUCUUAAAAAAUUGCAAAAUAACCCUUUUUCAGGUUAAAAUUGAAAAAUAACCCUUUUUCGGGUUAAAAUUGAAAAAAUAUGUUACAUAAAAAUAGUUUGUAAGAUUUUCUAACAGCAUAUAUGCAAAGUAUUUUGAUUUAUUUGAAAAUAAUUGAAAAUAGAUUUUUCAAGGACGGUGUCGAGGUCACGGGGUCGGUGUCGUUUUUCGAAAUUUGUUAACUUAAUAUAAUAGAAGAUGUUUCGUUUGAAAUUAAGAAAUGUUAAAAUUAUUAAGUUAAAAACAUUUGAUUUUAAUGACACUUAAAAUUAGACACAAUAUUAUAAGUUACUAACUAAAAAUUUAAAAAACAACAAUAAAUAAUAAAAAAUAAUAAUAAAAAAUUGAAAAAAUCAAAAAAUUCUUAAAAAAUUGCAAAAUAACCCUUUUUCGGGUUAAAAUUGCAAAAUAACCCUUUUUCGGGUUAAAAUUGAAAAAUAACCCUCUUUCGGGUUAAAAUUGAAAAAAGAUGUUACAUAAAAAUAGUUUGUAAGAUUUUCUAACAGCAUAUAUGCAAAGUAUUUUGAUUUAUUUGAAAAUAAUUGAAAAUAGAUUUUUCAAGGACGGUGUCGAGGUCACGGGGUCGGUGUCGUUUUUCGAAAUUUGUUAACUUAAUAUAAUAGAAGAUGUUUCGUAUUAAAUUAAGAAAUGUUAAAAUUAUUAAGUUAAAAACAUUUGAUUUUAAUGACACUUAAAAUUAGACACAAUAUUAUAGGUUACUAACUAAAAAUUGAAAAAACAACAAUAAAUAAUAAAAAAUAAUAAUAAAAAAUUGAAAAAAUCAAAAAAAUUUUAAAAAAUUG